GACUUCGUGGCGCAAUUGGCUAGCGCGUCUGAUUCCAAGUCAUUAGCCAUCAGGAGGCUGUGUGUUCAAGUCACACCGAGGUCA
Molecule: non-coding RNA, 84 nt
Organism: Hydnum rufescens UP504
Lineage: Eukaryota; Fungi; Basidiomycota; Agaricomycetes; Cantharellales; Hydnaceae
Source: the annotation of a GenBank genome assembly